GUCCAGACUCCUACGGGAGGCAGCAGUGGGGAAUAUUGCACAAUGGGGGAAACCCUGAUGCAGCGACGCCGCGUGAGCGAAGAAGUACCUCGGUAUGUAAAGCUCUAUCAGCAGGGAAGAAGAUGACGGUACCUGACCAAGAAGCUCCGGCUAAAUACGUGCCAGCAGCCGCGGUAAUACGUAGGGAGCAAGCGUUGUCCGGAAUUACUGGGCGUAAAGGGCGCGUAGGUGGGCGCUUAAGUCAGGUGUGAAAACUCCGGGCUCAACCUGGAGACUGCACUUGAAACUGGGUGUCUUGAGGGCAGGAGAGGAAAGUGGAAUUCCUAGUGUAGCGGUGAAAUGCGUAGAUAUUAGGAGGAACACCAGUGGCGAAGGCGACUUUCUGGACUGUACCUGACGCUGAGGCUCGAAAGCGUGGGGAGCAAACAGGAUUAGAUACCCCAGUA
Molecule: ribosomal RNA, 446 nt
Filed under: uncultured bacterium
Lineage: Bacteria
Description: partial 16S ribosomal RNA
Rfam family: Bacterial small subunit ribosomal RNA
Source: RNAcentral